UACGUAGGGUGCGAGCGUUGUCCGGAAUUAUUGGGCGUAAAGAGCUCGUAGGCGGUCUGUCGCGUCGGUCGUGAAAACUUGGGGCUUAACCCUGAGCUUGCGGUCGAUACGGGCAUGACUGGAGUUCGGCAGGGGAGACUGGAAUUCCUGGUGUAGCGGUGAAAUGCGCAGAUAUCAGGAGGAACACCGGUGGCGAAGGCGGCCCACUGGUCCGGUACUGACGCUGAGGUGCGAAAGCGUGGGGAGCAAACAGG
This 254-nucleotide ribosomal RNA is filed under the name uncultured bacterium. RNAcentral's name for it is "partial 16S ribosomal RNA". It matches the Rfam family "Bacterial small subunit ribosomal RNA", at positions 524 to 776 of the family's 1533-position model. The record is from RNAcentral.